RNAcentral lists this ribosomal RNA (745 nucleotides) under uncultured Bacilli bacterium. Its description in RNAcentral is "bacterial SSU rRNA". It matches the Rfam family "Bacterial small subunit ribosomal RNA", at positions 28 to 756 of the family's 1533-position model. The record is from RNAcentral. Lineage: Bacteria; Bacillati; Bacillota; Bacilli.
GAUGAACGCUGGCGGCGUGCCUAAUACAUGCAAGUAGAACGCUGAAGCUUGGUGCUUGCACCGAGCGGAUGAGUUGCGAACGGGUGAGUAACGCGUAGGUAACCUGCCUCUUAGCGGGGGAUAACUAUUGGAAACGAUAGCUAAUACCGCAUAAAAGUCGACAUCGCAUGAUAUUGAUUUGAAAGGUGCAAUUGCAUCACUAAGAGAUGGACCUGCGUUGUAUUAGCUAGUUGGUGAGGUAACGGCUCACCAAGGCGACGAUACAUAGCCGACCUGAGAGGGUGAUCGGCCACACUGGGACUGAGACACGGCCCAGACUCCUACGGGAGGCAGCAGUAGGGAAUCUUCGGCAAUGGGGGCAACCCUGACCGAGCAACGCCGCGUGAGUGAAGAAGGUUUUCGGAUCGUAAAGCUCUGUUGUAAGAGAAGAACGAGUGUGAGAGUGGAAAGUUCACACUGUGACGGUAACUUACCAGAAAGGGACGGCUAACUACGUGCCAGCAGCCGCGGUAAUACGUAGGUCCCGAGCGUUAUCCGGAUUUAUUGGGCGUAAAGCGAGCGCAGGCGGUUAGAUAAGUCUGAAGUUAAAGGCUGUGGCUUAACCAUAGUACGCUUUGGAAACUGUUUAACUUGAGUGCAGAAGGGGAGAGUGGAAUUCCAUGUGUAGCGGUGAAAUGCGUAGAUAUAUGGAGGAACACCGGUGGCGAAAGCGGCUCUCUGGUCUGUAACUGACGCUGAGGCUCGA